UUGAACGCUGGCGGCAGGCCUAACACAUGCAAGUCGAGCGAGAAAGCACCUCGGUGUGAGUAGAGCGGCGGACGGGUGAGUAACGCGUAGGAAUUUGCCCAGUAGUGGGGGACAACAUGUGGAAACGCAUGCUAAUACCGCAUACGCCCUAGGGGGAAAGCAGGGGAUCUUCGGGACCUUCCGCUAUUAGAUGGUCUUGCGCUGGAUUAGCUAGUUGGUGGGGUAAAGGCCUACCAAGGCGACGAUCCGUAGCUGGUCUGAGAGGAUGAUCAGCCACACUGGGACUGAGACACGGCCCAGACUCCUACGGGAGGCAGCAGUGGGGAAUAUUGGACAAUGGGGGCAACCCUGAUCCAGCCAUGCCGCGUGUGUUAAGAAGGCCUUAGGGUUGUAAAGCACUUUCAGUAGGGAGGAAAAGUUAGUCGUUAAUAACGGCUAACCGUGACGUUACCUACAGAAGAAGCACCGGCAAACUCCGUGCCAGCAGCCGCGGUAAUACGGAGGUCCCAAGCGUUGUUCGGAUUCACUGGGCGUAAAGGGUGCGUAGGCGGUCGGGAAAGUUUGAUGUGAAAGCUCCGGGCUCAACCUGGAAAUUGCAUUGAAAACUAUCCGACUAGAGGAUUGUAAGGGAGACUGGAAUUCUUGGUGUAGCAGUGAAAUGCGUAGAUAUCGAGAGGAACACCAGUGGCGAAGGCGAGUCUCUGGACAAUUCCUGACGCUGAGGCACGAAAGCUAGGGGAGCAAACAGGAUUAGAUACCCUGGUAGUCCUAGCCGUAAACGGUGCACGCUUGCUGUGAGCGGAUUCGACCCCGUCCGUGGCGGAGCUAACGCGUUAAGUGCACCGCCUGGGGAGUACGGCCGCAAGGCUAAAACUCAAAGAAAUUGACGGGGGCCCGCACAAGCGGAGGAGUAUGUGGCUUAAUUCGAUUCAACGCGAAGAACCUUACCUGGGUUUGACAUGUGUCUCUAAGUCUGUGAAAGCAGGCGAGUUUUCGAAGGUGCUGCACAGGUGCUGCAUGGCUGUCGUCAGUUCGUGCCGUGAGGUGUUGGGUUAAGUCCCGCAACGAGCGCAACCCCUAUGUCCUGUUGCCACUUUCCCUAGCGGGAGAAGCACUCUGGACAGACUGCCCCGUCUAAACGGGGAGGAAGGUGGGGAUGACGUCAAGUCAGUAUGGCCCUUACGGCCAGGGCUGCACACGUACUACAAUGCCCAGCACAAAAGGAAGCAAUACCGCAAGGUGGAGCAAAUCCCCAAAACUGGGCCCAGUUCGGAUUGUCGUCUGCAACUCGACGGCAUGAAGCUGGAAUCGCUAGUAAUGGCGCAUCAGCUACGGCGCCGUGAAUACGUUCCCAGGCCUUGUACACACCGCCCGUCAA
This 1378-nucleotide ribosomal RNA is filed under the name uncultured prokaryote. RNAcentral's name for it is "partial 16S ribosomal RNA". It matches the Rfam family "Bacterial small subunit ribosomal RNA", at positions 29 to 1400 of the family's 1533-position model. The record is from RNAcentral.